GCAAGACCUACCCCAAGAGACCAUCACAGUCCACAGGACUGAACAAUGCGAAUCGGUCCAACACCAAGACGGAGAAUGCAGAAAAAGAGGGAACGGCUAAGAUUACAGCACAGUCAGCUGUGAAGAGCUCCAACGUAACCAAGACAGAGAAUGGCGGUCCAGAGAAACAGCGAGGG
Coregonus clupeaformis (lake whitefish) is the source of this 176-nucleotide long non-coding RNA. RefSeq lists it as uncharacterized. The transcript has 3 exons. The record is from RefSeq and is a predicted model, not a curated record. NCBI's taxonomy places the organism in Eukaryota, Metazoa, Chordata, Actinopteri, Salmoniformes, Salmonidae.